CCUACGGGGGGCUGCAGUGGGGAAUAUUGGACAAUGGGGGGAACCCUGAUCCAGCCAUGCCGCGUGUGUGAAGAAGGCCCUCGGGUUGUAAAGCACUUUCAGUGAGGAAGAACGCCUGGUGGUUAAUACCCAUCAGGAAAGACAUCACUCACAGAAGAAGCACCGGCUAACUCCGUGCCAGCAGCCGCGGUAAUACGGAGGGUGCGAGCGUUAAUCGGAAUUACUGGGCGUAAAGCGCGCGUAGGUGGCUUGAUAAGCCGGUUGUGAAAGCCCCGGACUCAACCUGGGAACGGCAUCCGGAACUGUCAAGCUAGAGUGCAGGAGAGGAAGGUAGAAUUCCCGGUGUAGCGGUGAAAUGCGUAGAGAUCGGGAGGAAUACCAGUGGCGAAGGCGGCCUUCUGGACUGACACUGACACUGAGGUGCGAAAGCGUGGGUAGCAAACAGGAUUAGAUACCCGGGUAGUC
This 465-nucleotide ribosomal RNA is filed under the name Vreelandella stevensii. Its description in RNAcentral is "partial 16S ribosomal RNA". It matches the Rfam family "Bacterial small subunit ribosomal RNA", at positions 338 to 795 of the family's 1533-position model. Lineage: Bacteria; Pseudomonadati; Pseudomonadota; Gammaproteobacteria; Oceanospirillales; Halomonadaceae. The record is from RNAcentral.